AUCCAGCUGACGAGUUUCAAAUGGGACGAAACGCGCGUACGGUAU
Schistosoma rodhaini is the source of this 45-nucleotide non-coding RNA. The record is from Rfam. Lineage: Eukaryota; Metazoa; Platyhelminthes; Trematoda; Strigeidida; Schistosomatidae.